This 2902-nucleotide ribosomal RNA is filed under the name archaeon. Its description in RNAcentral is "23S ribosomal RNA". It matches the Rfam family "Archaeal large subunit ribosomal RNA". The record is from RNAcentral.
UUAGGAAUACCUACAAAGCUACGAGAAGAAUGGCUUGGUUUAGGCUAUGAUGAAGGACGUGGCAAGCUGCGAUAAGCGUGAGGGAGAUGCAUGCAAUCUUUGAUCUCAUGAUUUCCUAAUCAGAAACUGUUUUCAAGUUUACUUGAAAAGUUUGUAACGAGGUAACUUGUUAUAAAUGUGAACCCAGGGAAUUGAAACAUCUUAGUACCUGGCGGAAAAGAAAACAAACGCGAUUCCCCUAGUAACAGCGAGCGAAAAGGGAAGAUGGCAAACCGAAUCCCUGUAUGAAAGUAUAGGGAGAUGUGGAGUUGAGCAAGUUACUCCUGGGACUUUUAAUUCGAAGUGUUCUGGAAAGAAUUGCCGAAGAGGGUGAUAGCCCCGUAGAGGAGAAAGUUAUGGAGAUUUCUUGUUUUCAAGAGUAGCGCAUCCUGGCUUGGGUGUGUGAAUAUGGCUGAACUAACAGCUAACUUUAAAUAUGAGUCUAAAUCCGAUAGCGCACUAGUACAGUGAUGGAAGGCUGAAAAGUACCUUUGGCGAGGAGUCAAAAGACCUGAAAUCUCGUAGUUAUAGUUUGUUACUGCUCUACGGAGUUGUAACGUACGUUUUGAAAAACGGGCCAGGGAGUUAAGUUAAGUGGCGAGGUUAAUUCAUUUUCAUGAAGAAGCCAAAGCGAAAGCGAUUCUGAAAAAGAUCCUGCGAAAGUGGGAGAGUCACUUGGUUUAGACCUGAAGCCGGGCGAUCUAUUCGUGGACAGGAUGAAGUUUCCUUUACGGGAAAUGGAGGUCCGAACAGGUGCUGUGUGCAUGCGCUCUGAUGAUCUGCGAAUAGGGGUGAAAGGCCAAUCUAGCUCGGCGUUGGCUGGUUCCUGUCGAAAUAUACCUACGUAUAGUCUCUUCUAUCAUGUUAGCGAGGUAGAGCCACGGAUUAGAAAUGCGGGCGGAUUUUUCCGUCGGUUUCCAGUUCAACUCCGAACUUGUUAACUGUUCAUGAAGGGAAACUGGGGUGGGGGGUAAGCUUCUACUCCGAAACUCGAACAAGAGAGACUAUGGUUAAGGUCCCUAAAUACUAACUAAGUGUUAUGAAAGGAGUUUUCAUCCUGAGACAGUAGGAAGGUAGGCUUAGAAGCAGCCACCCUUUAAAGAAAGCGUAACAGCUCACCUAUCAAGGAUAGAAGCACUGAAAAUUGACGGGGCUAAGUUAGUUACCGAUACCAUGGUGGUUCCUUUUUAAGGAAUUCAGGUAGACAGGCGUACUGUUUGGGUAGAAGUUUGCACGUAAGUGUGGAUGGACCGGACAGUAACGAGAAUCCUGGCGUCAGUAGGAUCAGACUUGUGUGAGAAUCACAAGGGUCGUAAGGGCAAGGUUUCCUUGGCAAUGUCGAUCAGCCAAGGGUUAGCCGGUCCUAAGAAGUACCUUAACUGAGUACUUCAAAUGGGAAGCAGGUUAAUAUUCCUGCGCUGUUUGUUAGUUAUGAAAUUAUUAGAGACACUUCGGGAUAAGCAGAGGGUAUUUGCAAAAACCUCUUCUGCAAGAAAGUUAUGGAGUAUUGUAAUGAUGAGAAGUAAUGGAAUUGUAGAAGCCAAAGUUUGUUGAGUCCUGGAGUCCAUGAAAAUUUAGUAAUGAAGUUAAUAAAUAUCCGUACCAAGAACAUGCACUUGUGCCCUCCCUGAAAAGGGGAAGACCUGAAAGUCUAAAGUUUGUAAGGGAAUUCGGCAAAUUAGUCCUGUACCUUCGGUAGAAGGGAUGCCUAUAAAUGUGUUUUUUAGAAAUAGGAAAUGCAUUAGUAGGUCUCAGUAACAAGGGUGGCCCGACUGUUUACCAAAAACGUAGCUGAGUGCAAGGUCGAAAGGCUUAGUACACUCAGUGAAGUCUGCCCAGUGGUGGUGUCUGAAACUCUUUUUCAAGGGAGCUAAGGCCCAUUAAACGGCGGCGGUAACUCUGACUGUCUUAAGGUAGCGUAAUACCUUGUCAUUUGAAUAGUGACUUGCAUGAAAGGCUUAACGAGGUUGCCACUGUCCCUAUGAACUGACUUCUGAACUCUCCAUCCUGGUGCACGGGCCAGGGACAUCUAGUGGGAAGCGAAGACCUUGUGGACCUUUACUGCAGCUUGUUGUUGUGCUUUUUUGUUAAGUACAUAGUGUAGCUGGGAGAGAUGAUGUGUAGCUUAGGCAAAGCGGAUCACCGAUGUAACACCAGCUAUUUGAUAAAGAAUCACUUACUCUUUUGAAAGAAAGGGAACAGCGGCAGGUGGGCAGUUUGGCUGGGGCGGCUCCUUUUGAAAAGAUAUCAAAAGGGCCCUAAGGCGAGCUCAGUUGUGUCGGAAACACAACGUAGAGUGCAGAGGCAAAAGCUCGCUUGACUGUGUUCUUACCAGAAGUGAACGCAGAGUUGAAAGACUGGCUUAGCGAACCUCCAUAGUCUCUUAGUGGGACUUGGAGAUAACAGAAAAGGUACCCCAAGGAUAACAGGCUUGUCGCCCCCGAUAGUUCACAUUGACGGGGCGGUUUGGUACUCCGCUGUCGGCUCUUCCUAUCCUGGCUGUGCAGAAGCAGCCAAGGGUACCGGGGUUCACGCGUUAAAAGGGAUCGUUAGCUGGGUUCAGAACGUCGCGAGACAGUUUGUAUGAUAUCUACUAGAUGUGUUGUUGUCUAAGUGGAACGAAGCUUCAGUACGAGAGGAACGAGUUUCGGAAGCCUCUGGUGUAGCUGUUGUUUUUAUAGAGCACGCAGCGCAGCCACGCUUUGUAUUGAUAAGCGCUGAAAGCAUCUAAGUGCGAAGCAAUCCGCGAAAAUAGAUAACUAAGGCCGUUGUAAAAGACAACGUUGAUAGAGUUGGUGUGUAAGUUCCGAGCUUCGGCGAGUAAUUUAGCAUGCAACUACUAAAAGCCUCACUUUAUUCCUAA